GAUGAACGCUGGCGGCGUGCUUAACACAUGCAAGUCGAACGGAAAGGCUCCUGCUUGCAGGGGUACUCGAGUGGCGAACGGGUGAGUAACACGUGGGUGAUCUGCCCUGCACUUCGGGAUAAGCCUGGGAAACUGGGUCUAAUACCGGAUAGGACGAUGGUUUGGAUGCCAUUGUGGAAAGUUUUUUCGGUGUGGGAUGAGCUCGCGGCCUAUCAGCUUGUUGGUGGGGUAAUGGCCUACCAAGGCGUCGACGGGUAGCCGGCCUGAGAGGGUGUACGGCCACAUUGGGACUGAGAUACGGCCCAGACUCCUACGGGAGGCAGCAGUGGGGGAUAUUGCACAAUGGGCGCAAGCCUGAUGCAGCGACGCCGCGUGGGGGAUGACGGCCUUCGGGUUGUAAACUCCUUUCGCUAGGGACGAAGCGCAAGUGACGGUACCUGGAGAAGAAGCACCGGCUAACUACGUG
This 466-nucleotide ribosomal RNA is filed under the name uncultured bacterium. Its description in RNAcentral is "partial 16S ribosomal RNA". It matches the Rfam family "Bacterial small subunit ribosomal RNA", at positions 28 to 507 of the family's 1533-position model. The record is from RNAcentral.